Zonotrichia leucophrys gambelii is the source of this 1885-nucleotide long non-coding RNA. RefSeq lists it as uncharacterized. The record is from RefSeq and is a predicted model, not a curated record. Lineage: Eukaryota; Metazoa; Chordata; Aves; Passeriformes; Passerellidae. The transcript has 3 exons.
GAUUAGGAGGUAGGAGGAGCCCCUCUGAACAUGAGCCAGCAACUCAGGGCAUGGUGCUGGAGUCCACAGUCAGAGACCUCAUUCCAGAAAAUCCUGGCCUUCUCUAGGUUGCUGUGAAUGAGGCAAAGUUUUCUCCUUGGUGGGCUGGUGUUUGACUCACCUCCAUGGCUGUUCCCCUCCAAGGAAUACUCCUAUUAAGCUCAUCACUUCAUCAUACCUGAACAAAGUGAUGCUCCUGUGAAGUGCAGCUUGUACAAAACACUGUUCUGGUGUGAAACAGAGCCUGAAACUUCUCUGGUGGUUCAUUUUGAGAUACCAGAAAAAGAUUAUCUACGCUGAGAAGAGUGGCAAGGGUGCCCUCACCUCCAGUGAGAUUCUGGACAAUUUCGUGAGUCCUUCUGCACUCAGGUUCACUCCAGCUUUUUCUUAGUUGAAGGACCCUCUUCCUGUAUGCAAUUUCCUGCACUUGAGGCAGUAACAAUUCAGCUCUUUUGGGAAUUUUGUGAGCAGUUUGCACUCCAAAACUGGCACUAGGACUCAAGAGAGGAAGCACCCAGCAGUGCCUGCUGAGAUGGAGGGUACCUCACAGCAGGAUGAAGGUGAAAUAAUUUGUUGAAAGCUGCUGUGCAGGAGUAGUGGCCUGGGAAUGAUUCAGCCUCCUGGUGCCAGUUCUUCCCACUGCCUCCCAGUCUACAAACAAGGGUGUUUGGCCUCACAAAGGCAUAAAUUCAGCAAAACCUAGAUUUUGUCACCAUAUAGCUGUCAUGGCUCAGGAGGAGCAGUUCCCUAGCUUGUGCUUUGGAAAGGGGCUCUCUAGGUAAUGUUGUAGUUUUGUAAGGAAUAAUCCAAUCUCUUUAGAUAUUUAGGAAGAAGCCAAAUAAGGAGGGAGACAAACCAAGAUGUGCAAAGGACCAAAAAUAGCAUGGGGAAAAGAAGCCCUGACAGCUCUGUGCUCAACAUGUCUGAUGUUUACUCACUCCAUGGGAGCUGGCCCUGCAGAGAAGAUGUAUUUAUAGGGAUGUGUUCACACGACUUUGCUUUGCACACACUACUGAUUUAGAUGUCUAAUUUAGGAGCACAGGCACCCUCUGUCGUCAGCAGAGCCUGAAUGAAGGUCUCUGAGCUACCCCCUGACAGGAGGCACCUUUCUCCAGCGAGUUCAAAGCCACCUGAGGUUCCUAAUUUAGGUGCAUAAGCCACAUGUGCAGUGUGUGAGCCUUGAGUAAACAGCACUCAGGGAUUAAGGGCUGGCCCUGGCACUGCUUCCCCCACAGGCAGUGAACUCUUUGGAGAUCAGUGUAUGGCUAAAGAGAAAGAUCACCUUCCUUCCGUGCUGGAUGUAGCCAGGUUCAUGGGCCUCAGUGACUCGAGGGCAGACACACACUUGCAUAGGAGCAUGCCCAAAAUACCAUUUAUUCAGUGAGGGAAAAGGGAACUCCCUGCCCUGCACCCAGCUGUGCAUGCUCAGCCUCAGGUGGCAGGGCAGGUAGAGGCACAGCCCCUGCAAGCUGCUGCGUGCACAGCUGGCUAAAUGGCUGUUAUCCUGGCAUGAACAGAGCUGCAAAAAUAAAAAAGGGAAGAAAACUCCACCCCAAAGCAGCCCUCACCUCUGCAGAAGUGGAGGUUAACAAAGUGAGGACCUGUGAGCCCCUGGCUCCUCCAUCUGCCUCAGCCAAGGGCUUUUCCUGUGACCCCGCACAGAUUGAGGAGCUCUUGCUGCUUCUCCACCUCUCUGCAAUGAGAAUGAUUUUAUUCACAGAAGGUGAUGUCACGAGAUUGUUGGGAGGGGAUGUGACUCAAUGUUUGUAUAAUGCUUUGAAGAUGAAGAGUGCUAAGUAUUGUUAUUUGAGAUGGCAACAAAAUAAAACAAAAUAUGUUCAGUGCA